Molecule: ribosomal RNA, 450 nt
Filed under: uncultured bacterium
Lineage: Bacteria
Description: bacterial SSU rRNA
Rfam family: Bacterial small subunit ribosomal RNA
Source: RNAcentral
AACGAACGCUGGCGGCAUGCCUAACACAUGCAAGUCGAACGAAGCCUUCGGGCUUAGUGGCGCACGGGUGCGUAACGCGUGGGAAUCUGCCCUUAGGUACGGAAUAACUCAGGGAAACUUGUGCUAAUACCGUAUGAUGUCGAGAGACCAAAGAUUUAUCGCCUAGGGAUGAGCCCGCGUAGGAUUAGCUAGUUGGUGGGGUAAAGGCCUACCAAGGCGACGAUCCUUAGCUGGUCUGAGAGGAUGAUCAGCCACACUGGGACUGAGACACGGCCCAGACUCCUACGGGAGGCAGCAGUGGGGAAUAUUGGACAAUGGGGGCAACCCUGAUCCAGCCAUGCCGCGUGAGUGAUGAAGGCCUCGGGUUGUAAAGCUCUUUUGGUCGGGGGACGAUGAUGACGGUACCCGCAGAAUAAGCCCGGCUAACUUCGUGCCAGCAGCCGCGGUAAU